This 71-nucleotide microRNA precursor is filed under the name Nannospalax galili (Upper Galilee mountains blind mole rat). Its description in RNAcentral is "microRNA 206 (ENSNGAG00000004614.1)". It matches the Rfam family "mir-1 microRNA precursor family". From Rfam's summary of the family: This family represents the microRNA (miRNA) mir-1 family. miRNAs are transcribed as ~70nt precursors (modelled here) and subsequently processed by the Dicer enzyme to give a ~22nt product. In this case the mature sequence comes from the 3' arm of the precursor. The record is from RNAcentral. Lineage: Eukaryota; Metazoa; Chordata; Mammalia; Rodentia; Spalacidae.
AGGCCACAUGCUUCUUUAUAUCCCCAUAGGGUUCACUGUACUAUGGAAUGUAAGGAAGUGUGUGGUUUUGG